This is an RNA transcript of Musa acuminata AAA Group (dessert banana), 1694 nucleotides long. It is a transcript of the gene named hexokinase-1-like, with no coding region annotated. The transcript is spliced from 5 exons. The record is from RefSeq and is a predicted model, not a curated record. Lineage: Eukaryota; Viridiplantae; Streptophyta; Magnoliopsida; Zingiberales; Musaceae.
UCCAUCCCCCAUUUCGCCCAAUCCCACAUUUUAGCGGUCUGGCCUUCGAGAUUUAUUUCAUUUCGCCUUCGCCAUUCAAACAAAGGGGAAGGCAGCUACGGAUCCCGACUUCUUUCGUGAUCCUGAUCGUUUUCGUCCUCCGAAGGAAGGAUCUUGGAAGACGGAGCCCGGGAGCCUAGUUCUUGGAUCGAUUAGGAGGUCGAGAGGGGCUCGUCUGAUCGGCUCGGAACCGUAGCUCCGAGGACAUGGCCAAGGCGGCGAUGGCGGUGCCCCUCGUGCGGCACCGGACGCGGAGCUCGGGCUGCCGCGGUGAUCAACGAACUCAAGGAGCGACGCGCCGCGCCAGCCCAACGCGAAGCCGCGGCAGGUGGCGGACGUGACGACGGAGGAGAUGCACGCGGGGCUCGCUUCCCAGGGCGGGAGCAAGCUUAAGAUUCUGAUCAGCUACGUCGACAACCUCCCCCCAGGGUUGGGGAAGAUGUGGUCUCUGAAUUGAUGAGGGCCAUUGAAGGACAAGGUCUCAAUAUGCAAGUAUCAGCACUGGUUAAUUAUACAAUCGGGACAUUAGCUGGGGCGAGAUGUUAUGAUAAUGAUGUAGUUGCUGCUGUGAUACUAGGCGCUGGUACAAAUGCAGCCUAUGUAGAGCAUGCCCAUGCAAUACCUAAGUGGCACAGUCUUCUUCCCAAAUCAGGAGAGAUGGUGAACAAACUUUCUUUUGCCUGACAUGUAAAGUUAAUCUUUUUCUCCUUUGGUUAUGAUAAAUUGAACAUAUAACAUAUAAUAAAACAAGAUUUCUACUAUGCAGCUGUUAGGAAAGCUUGUUGACAUUGUAUAAGUUCUUAAAUUUCAUUUUUUAUUGAGGUUAUCAACGUGGAAUGAGAAACUUCAGGUCAUCUCAUCUUUUCUUUAACUGACUAUGAUCAAGCAUUAGUUUUUUGAGGGUUUGAACCCUGGUGACAAGUAAUGUAUAAAGAGCUUGACUUAUUUCUAUCACUAGAAUUGUACAAAUGCUAUAAAUUCAAGAAACUUUGUCAUUACAGAUUUUUGGGAAGUUGAUAUCUGGAAUGUAUCUGAAAGGAAUUUUAGGAGAGUCCUGAGAUUGGUUAACGAAGCUUGCCUUGUUUGGAGACUGUGUUCCAUCGAAACUCAAAACUCCGUUUAUACUAAGGACUCCAAGUCAUGUCAGCGGUGCACCACCAUACUUCACCUGAUCUUAUUGUUGUUGGGACUAAACCGAAGGAAGUCUUGAAGGCACAAUCUUCUUGGUUACUGGCGUUCAUAUUUGGCAGCCUGUUGUAUGCAGUUGGCAUAAUCUUCAGAGGUAUUUCUGUAUCUUAAAAUGAUAUCUAUCGAUCUAGCACAGUCUAAACGAAUCCAAACAUUUUGUGCAAGACCCUUUUCUAUGCCGUGUAUGCAGUUCUUAAUUUGACCUAUGCGAUUGCAUCUGAUAGUAGAGUAAGCAAAGUGGUGGUCAGUUCACAGAAGACAGCAGAAUCUUGUGCAGAGGACGCUGUUCUGAUGCUGCCCGGCUUUUGUCUCCUGCACCUGCAUUGCAUUGUGCUGUUGCUGUGCCAGAAAUCUUCUGCAACUACAUCCGGUGAUUUCCCUGUCGUGAAGGCCAUAUUCCAUUAGUUGCUCUAUAUUGACCGUGUCUUGGUGAUCAGAGAUCGUCAUGACGACGAGGUAUAACCAUU